GACCCAGUGGCGGAUGGUCCGCGUCUCCAUUCUUUGAGCUAGCCUGAUGAAUGGUUACGGAGAAGUCGCCCGUUCGAUUCGGGCCUGGGUCA
This is a non-coding RNA of Mycena leptocephala, 92 nucleotides long. The record is from the annotation of a GenBank genome assembly. Lineage: Eukaryota; Fungi; Basidiomycota; Agaricomycetes; Agaricales; Mycenaceae.